AGUGAACGCUGGCGGUAGGCCUAACACAUGCAAGUCGAACGGCAGCACAGUAAGAGCUUGCUCUUACGGGUGGCGAGUGGCGGACGGGUGAGGAAUACAUCGGAAUCUACUUUUUCGUGGGGGAUAACGUAGGGAAACUUACGCUAAUACCGCAUACGACCUACGGGUGAAAGCAGGGGAUCUUCGGACCUUGCGCGAUUGAAUGAGCCGAUGUCGGAUUAGCUAGUUGGCGGGGUAAAGGCCCACCAAGGCGACGAUCCGUAGCUGGUCUGAGAGGAUGAUCAGCCACACUGGAACUGAGACACGGUCCAGACUCCUACGGGAGGCAGCAGUCGGGAAUAUUGGGCAAUGGGCGCAAGCCUGAUCCAGCCAUACCGCGUGAGUGAAGAAGGCCUUCUGGUUGUAAAGCCCUUUUGUUGGGAAAGAAAAGCAGCAGGUUAAUACCCCGCUGUUCUGACGGUACCGAAAGAAUAAGCACCGGCUAACUUCGUG
RNAcentral lists this ribosomal RNA (492 nucleotides) under uncultured bacterium. Its description in RNAcentral is "partial 16S ribosomal RNA". It matches the Rfam family "Bacterial small subunit ribosomal RNA", at positions 29 to 507 of the family's 1533-position model. The record is from RNAcentral.